GGUAAGAGCGCACCGCAUAACUGGCAACAGUUUAUGGCAAGGUAAACCCCACUGGGAGCAAGACCAAAUAGGAAAACAAUGCGUGGUCCGCGCAGUUUUCGGGUAGGUUGCUUGAGGCGUGCAGCGAUGUACUGUCCAGAUGAAUGAUUACCACAUUAUUAAUUUAAUGACACAGAACCCGGCUUAUCGACCAACUUCUUUA
Molecule: RNase P RNA, 202 nt
Filed under: Alcanivoracaceae bacterium
Lineage: Bacteria; Pseudomonadati; Pseudomonadota; Gammaproteobacteria; Oceanospirillales; Alcanivoracaceae
Description: partial RNase P RNA component class A
Rfam family: Bacterial RNase P class A
About the family: Ribonuclease P (RNase P) is a ubiquitous endoribonuclease, found in archaea, bacteria and eukarya as well as chloroplasts and mitochondria.
Source: RNAcentral